CUAGCUUACUUAUUGUUAAACUUGGUUUAUUUAAACUUGGUAAAUGGUGGGUUAUUGCCUAAAUUAGGCUGGCUGUAUGAGAUACUUUAAUAGUUUAAUCUCUCAACAGUAACAAACAAAACCAAGACUGAGGGCAAACACUAUCUUUACCUGGCUGUCCAUGAAUGCAGGUCUCAGGGAGACGUGGAUGCUGCUCUGCAGGGUGCUCGAUUUAAGUGCAUUAACCGUGAGCGAGGGAUUAACAAGGGAGGGGCAGGGGGUCUUCUGUUGUUCACCACAGGUGUGUUUUGGCCUUGACACAGCUGAGUGAACACUGUGAAGCUGUUUGAUGCUCAGAGAUCUGUAGAAGUUUGUAGUCUGAAGUUUGAUAACCACAAAUUUGUACUGCAGUAGUACUUGAGUUGAUGUACUAACAGCAUCUUAUUUACUCAGACUGCCAGUAAUCAAACUUGACUCACAGCAAACUGUCGCAUCCUAUGGACAAUCAUUCUCACACUGUAGCCUCCAGACAUGACAAGAGUAACAGUACAUGUUAAUGACUGCCAUGAAAUUAAAGCUUAGCUCAACCUCACUCACUCUGACACAGCUGAGUGAACACUGUGAAGCUGUUUGAUGCUCAGAGAUCUGUAGAAGUUCAAUAAGGAGUUUUUGAGCUGUGAUGUGAAUGAACGACAACAUUUCUCUGUAACAUUUGUGUGUGUGUGUGUGUGUGUGUGUGUGUGUGU
This is a long non-coding RNA of Epinephelus fuscoguttatus (brown-marbled grouper), 725 nucleotides long. RefSeq lists it as uncharacterized. The transcript has 2 exons. NCBI's taxonomy places the organism in Eukaryota, Metazoa, Chordata, Actinopteri, Perciformes, Serranidae. The record is from RefSeq and is a predicted model, not a curated record.